AACGAACGCUGGCGGCAUGCCUAACACAUGCAAGUCGAACGAGACCUUCGGGUCUAGUGGCGCACGGGUGCGUAACGCGUGGGAACCUGCCCUUAGGUUCGGAAUAACUCCCCGAAAGGGGUGCUAAUACCGGAUAAUGUCUUCGGACCAAAGAUUUAUCGCCUAUGGAUGGGCCCGCGUUGGAUUAGCUAGUUGGUAGGGUAAAAGCCUACCAAGGCGACGAUCCAUAGCUGGUCUGAGAGGAUGAUCAGCCACACUGGGACUGAGACACGGCCCAGACUCCUACGGGAGGCAGCAGUGGGGAAUAUUGGACAAUGGGCGAAAGCCUGAUCCAGCAAGGCCGCGUGAGUGAUGAAGGCCUUAGGGUUGUAAAGCUCUUUUACCCGGGAUGAUAAUGACAGUACCGGGAGAAUGAGCUCCGGCUAACUCCGUG
RNAcentral lists this ribosomal RNA (433 nucleotides) under uncultured bacterium. RNAcentral's name for it is "partial 16S ribosomal RNA". It matches the Rfam family "Bacterial small subunit ribosomal RNA", at positions 29 to 507 of the family's 1533-position model. The record is from RNAcentral.